AUCGCUUCUCGGCCUUUUGGCUAAGAUCAAGUGUAGAAAUGUGUAUAAAUAGCUAUCAAGGUUGUUUUAAAUGCUAUUAAUAUAGUGGGAUUAAUGCCAUUAAUAUAGUGGGAUUAUUUUACUACUUUACCUAUUUUAGUUAGCAUCACAGGAAAGUGUAAAACUUU
This 167-nucleotide small nuclear RNA is filed under the name Otolemur garnettii (small-eared galago). RNAcentral's name for it is "U2 spliceosomal RNA". It matches the Rfam family "U2 spliceosomal RNA". From Rfam's summary of the family: U2 is a small nuclear RNA (snRNA) component of the spliceosome (involved in pre-mRNA splicing). The record is from Rfam by way of RNAcentral. Lineage: Eukaryota; Metazoa; Chordata; Mammalia; Primates; Galagidae.